AAGAUGAAGUUCCUACCCAGAAGCAAAUGUGUGGCCAUUUCUCCUUGCCAAAGGGAGACUUCUUGAGGCUGCUGCCUCCCUGACCACUUCACUGCCUAGAAUUGUCUUGAGCAGUCCUCCAGCAGAAUCAGAUACAGAGGGCAUCCCGGUUAACCAAAACACAGUCUACAAUGGGGCAAGAGCAGAGUUAUUCUUACCAGUUCAAGCCGGUUCUUACUGGUUUUGACCUGAGUGGCCUUUGUGAAUACAUAGGUGCUUCACCUCCAACCAAACCCUUCACAACCAAACUCCUACAUACAACACACAUACACACCACACAUUACACAAAGCACACACAUGUUAUAUAUAUACUAUACAUAUAUACAUCACAUAACACCAUAUACACACUACACACAGUACACAUGCUACACAUACCACACACUGACAUUAUACACACAGUACACAUACAUACUACAACACUAC
RNAcentral lists this long non-coding RNA (462 nucleotides) under Marmota monax (woodchuck). The record is from RNAcentral. Lineage: Eukaryota; Metazoa; Chordata; Mammalia; Rodentia; Sciuridae.